CAGGAAUCUGUUCCAUCUGAGUCUGUUACUUGCUUAAAAGGCUGGGAUGCUCAGGCCAAUGUUUAUGCAACAAUCAGUUUAUCCUGGAAGGAAUACCAGCACAUAGCGUCACUCAAAGCUCGGCCUACGGAGGUUGCUUGAUUGAAAGUUUGUUUUGUCAAAGCAGGAUUCUGGUUUUAUUGGUUUUAUCUGCCUUUAAAGUUUUCCAGGCUAAAACUAUUUUGACCAUAUUCUUUAGAAGAGAACUUUUCAACUUUGCUCAUUUAUCUACCUCCGUCCUGGAGGAGAUUCAGAAUAAUUUUCUGAGAAGAAUCCAGCCUGUGCCAAAGGGUGUUCCUGUGCUUGGAGCAAAGGUGGAACGGGUCUGCAGUAUUAUGCCCAAGAUACUCACUUGCUGGUGAGAAGAUUUGGACUUCAAAGUGAAGUACCUGGAUCCGUCGGUCAAUUAUGCCCCCUAUAGUAGGAGGACUACAAGCCUCCUUUCCCCUCCACUUGAACCUGAGCGAGAUCGGUGGCUUCUUUGACAAAUAGAAUAUGGCAGAAGUGACACUUGCCAGUGUCCUGGCCAAGGGCUUAAGAAAAUGGCAGCUUCCAUUUCUUUUCUCUGAGAACUCUCUCUCUGAAAGCCCUGAGCCUCCAUGGAAGACUUAAGGCUACCCCCGAGACUUCCACGCUGGAGAGGCUUUGUGCAGGUGCUCUGGUUGCCACUGCCCACUCAGUUCAGCCUUCCAGGCACAUCUGCUAAAGUUCCUGAUGUGUAAGAUAAGCUGUUUGGACCUGAUGGCAUAGCUGAAUACCAACAGAUGACCUCAGUCAAUGCCAUGUGGAGCCAAAGAAUCACCAGUAGAAUCCUGCCUGAAGCUGUGACUCAGAGAAUCAUAAAACGUGCUGAGGAGAUAGCUGUAAACAGACCUUCCCCAUGGAGUUUACAUUCUAGUGGAGGAGCGAGACAAAGAAGCAAAAUAAAUGAGUGUAAUAUAUACUCUGCUGGAUGGUGAUAAGUAUGAUGGAAAACUUAAAUCAAGGAGGGAGAUAGGAUGGGAGAAAAUGGAGUAUUAUCAUUUAAAAUAUGCUAGUUAGGGCUAAGAUGACAUUUGAGUAAAAACAUGGAGGAGGUGCUAGACCAAGGUAAAUUUAAAUAAUUAUUUAAAUACACUAAAAACCUAAUCCAAUGAUUUUCUUUUAAG
RNAcentral lists this long non-coding RNA (1187 nucleotides) under Equus caballus (horse). RNAcentral describes it as "lncRNA (ENSECAG00000047518.1)". The record is from RNAcentral. Lineage: Eukaryota; Metazoa; Chordata; Mammalia; Perissodactyla; Equidae.